Molecule: ribosomal RNA, 440 nt
Filed under: uncultured bacterium
Lineage: Bacteria
Description: partial 16S ribosomal RNA
Rfam family: Bacterial small subunit ribosomal RNA
Source: RNAcentral
CCUACGGGCGGCAGCAGUGGGGAAUAUUGCACAAUGGGGGAAACCCUGAUGCAGCGACGCCGCGUGAGUGAAGAAGUAAUUCGUUAUGUAAAGCUCUUUCAGCAGGGAAGAAAAUGACGGUACCUGAGUACGAAGCACCGGCUAAAUACGUGCCAGCCGCCGCGGUAAUACGUAGGGGGCAAGCGUUAUCCGGCUUUACUGGGUGUAAAGGGAGCGUAGACGGCAGUGCAAGUCUGGAGUGAAAGGCGGGGGCUCAACCCCCGGACUGCUCUGGAAACUGUACGGCUGGAGUGCAGGAGAGGUAAGUGGAAUGCGUAGUGUAGCGGUGAAAUGCGUAGAUAUUAGGAGGAACACCAGUGGCGAAGGCGGCUUACUGGACUGCAACUGACGUUGAGGCUCGAAAGCGUGGGGAGCGAACAGGAUUAGAUACCCCAGUAGUC